This 992-nucleotide unclassified non-coding RNA is filed under the name Nilaparvata lugens (brown planthopper). RNAcentral's name for it is "neuropeptide CCHamide-1 receptor, transcript variant X6". Lineage: Eukaryota; Metazoa; Arthropoda; Insecta; Hemiptera; Delphacidae. The record is from RNAcentral.
UGAAAGCGCUGGAAAAUGCUUGAAGGUCAUUAGAGAUCGAGAGGAAGUGUACUUCUAAUAUUAAUCCGAAGAUAUGAAAUCAAAAGCGCUGGAAAAAGCUUGAAGGUCAUUAGAGAUCGAGAGGAAGUGUACUUCUAAUAUUAAUACGAAGAAUCAAAUGGACAACAAUCAGUAGAACGCUCUGAUAUACAACUGGACCAAUCGCCAUCAAAUUGGGGGAAGUAAUACUUCCAAUGGAGAGAAAAAGUGGUCUCUUUCUCUUGUCACCUCAAAGAAAAAAUCAAAACUGUAAUUUCAAAAUACAAGUUGAUUAAUUUGUUUGACAGUUAAUGGAAGUAACUGAGUACCACGAGAAAUCAAUCCACCGAUAACUCUGCAAGCACUGGUAAACUCAAGCAGCAUUAAAUUGUGCUGAAUGCCUUUAUUACGGCGGUUGCAAAAGGCUAGUGAAUGCAACGAACAUUUACCAUCCUGAACUAGCUUCUAGUUACAGAACUAAACUUGCAAAUUCAAUUGAAUAGUGCCAAGGAUGAUACAGCUGUGACAUGAAACAGCUCAACAAUUUUACGAUCCAUUGAAAGCUUACUGGAUAUUACGAAAACUCUGACAAUGUAGUCAGAGUUUUCAUCCCACAAUUUCAAUAUCUGGAUUUCAAACUUUCAUCAUAAAUAUGAUAGGCAUCAUACAAAACUUGGAGAAUGGUUUCAGUCCUACUAACGGCUACACUUACAUGGUAUUGUUUCUAUCCAUUUCAACCCUUGACAUUCAAAGUCGAUUGGAUUCAUAUUGAAUAAUAAUUGUAUGAGUUUUUUCGACUAAUAUUCUAUUUGACCAAUCAGUUUUAUUGGUGAAUAUGGAAUAAUAUCUUAUUUGAAUCAUUUUUGAAGUGAUUAACUGAAGAAUAAGCUUAAAGGUCAGGCUAAGCCUCGGGAUGUCCCCAUUUUAUUUCGUCUACUUCGUAGUCAAUGAUUAUUGUGUCAACGCCCAUUGAU